RNAcentral lists this unclassified non-coding RNA (200 nucleotides) under Trechispora sp. Its description in RNAcentral is "partial internal transcribed spacer 2". Lineage: Eukaryota; Fungi; Basidiomycota; Agaricomycetes; Trechisporales; Hydnodontaceae. The record is from RNAcentral.
UUAAGUUCAGCGGGUAGUCCUACCUGAUUUGAGGUCAGAUUUCAAAUUAGAUUGACCACCUCUGGAAAGGCAGUCGUGGGAGGGCUCAAUCAAAGGGGAACUUCUCAGACAAAGAGCGAGGAUGAUACAACGCCCAACCGAGUUCGACCCACAGGCCCAACCGAAGCAUUUGAGGGGAGCGGCCUCACGGUCGCAGGCCC